RNAcentral lists this long non-coding RNA (549 nucleotides) under Homo sapiens (human). RNAcentral describes it as "non-protein coding lnc-RUNX1-5:1". The record is from RNAcentral. Lineage: Eukaryota; Metazoa; Chordata; Mammalia; Primates; Hominidae.
GUCUGUCUGACACAUUUCAUCAGACAUGUUCUUUUAAAAAUGGUAAUCCGAUUAUAUAGUGGUUUUAAUCACCAUUUGUUCUCUCCUUGCCUGAUAGUGAAUGAGAGCCACAAGUCUGAAUUUAUAGAGCUGAGGAAGUGGCUGAAAGCUAGGAAGUUUCAAGAUUCAAACUUAGCGCCUGCUUGUUUUCCAGGUACAGGAAGAGGGCUGAUGAGUCAAACAUCCCUGCAGGAGGGACAGAUGAUUAUUUCGUUGCCUGAGAGUUGCCUGCUCACCACGGACACAGUGAUUCGAAGCUACUUAGGGGCAUACAUUACUAAGUGGAAGCCUCCUCCAUCUCCUCUGCUGGCGCUGUGCACCUUUUUAGUUUCAGAAAAGCAUGCUGGGCACCGAUCUCUUUGGAAGCCUUACCUGGAGAUUUUACCCAAGGCGUAUACCUGCCCUGUUUGUUUGGAGCCGGAAGUGGUGAACCUUCUUCCCAAAUCUUUAAAAGCAAAGGCUGAAGAGCAGAGAGCCCACGUGCAGGAGUUCUUUGCUUCCUCCAGAGAC